AAGUCGUAACAAGGUUUCCACCGACAUAAGGUCUACAGGAAUGGAUUUGACCCUUCUGCAGUGAAACUUAUAGAAGCCUUUUGCAGCCCGGCAGCGGGUGAUCAAGCGACUCUAAAUAAUUGACGAUGCAAGUUUGUCCGUCUAUGACAGCAAGCGACACGAUCGAAUUGACGGGGGCAUCCUAAAGCUUGUCGCACCAACUCCUUCAGAGAAAUCUGAAGGAGGGCCCAUGCUAACAACAUGGGAGGGUAAGAGAUGACAAGAUGCAACAAUGGACGAUCCGCAGCGAAGACUCUAAGUGCAUUAUCAGAUGCAUACGGGUAACGUUCACAGACUAAGUGGUCGUGGGUGACGCAACUGAAAGUGGUUGAAUCGUCGCUUAAGAUAUAGUCGGGUCUCUGGCGAAAGUCAGGGUGGAAUUCACUGAAUUGCUCAUUAAAACCGUUCCGUAGGUGAACCUGCGGAAGGAUCAUUACCGAGUGCGUCCGUUAAUUCGGACUCCUCCCACCCUUGUGUAUUUUAGCUGAAAAGCAGCUUCGGCGGGCCGUCAUACCUCAGUUUUGGGGUCUUGACAUCGGCCUUGUGCGGAUUUGCGCCCGCCGAAGAACCAACUCUUGACAAUUUGAAGUCUGAUACAAACUAAAAUAAAUCAAAA
This 655-nucleotide non-coding RNA is filed under the name plant metagenome. RNAcentral describes it as "partial contains small subunit ribosomal RNA and internal transcribed spacer 1". The stretch from base 33 to 414 matches the Rfam family "Group I catalytic intron". From Rfam's summary of the family: Group I catalytic introns are large self-splicing ribozymes. They catalyse their own excision from mRNA, tRNA and rRNA precursors in a wide range of organisms. The record is from RNAcentral.